Molecule: ribosomal RNA, 450 nt
Filed under: uncultured bacterium
Lineage: Bacteria
Description: partial 16S ribosomal RNA
Rfam family: Bacterial small subunit ribosomal RNA
Source: RNAcentral
GUGGGGAAUUUUGGACAAUGGGGGCAACCCUGAUCCAGCCAUUCCGCGUGAGUGAAGAAGGCCUUCGGGUUGUAAAGCUCUUUCGGCAGGAACGAAACGGUGAGCUCUAACAUAGCUCGCUAAUGACGGUACCUGAAGAAGAAGCACCGGCUAACUACGUGCCAGCAGCCGCGGUAAUACGUAGGGUGCGAGCGUUAAUCGGAAUUACUGGGCGUAAAGCGUGCGCAGGCGGUUGUGUAAGACAGGUGUGAAAUCCCCGGGCUUAACCUGGGAACUGCGCUUGUGACUGCACGGCUAGAGUAUGGCAGAGGGGGGUGGAAUUCCGCGUGUAGCAGUGAAAUGCGUAGAUAUGCGGAGGAACACCGAUGGCGAAGGCAAUCCCCUGGGCCUGCACUGACGCUCAUGCACGAAAGCGUGGGGAGCAAACAGGAUUAGAAACCCGGGUAGUCC